Molecule: ribosomal RNA, 459 nt
Filed under: uncultured bacterium
Lineage: Bacteria
Description: partial 16S ribosomal RNA
Rfam family: Bacterial small subunit ribosomal RNA
Source: RNAcentral
CCUACGGGAGGCAGCAGUGAGGAAUAUUGGUCAAUGGACGAGAGUCUGAACCAGCCAAGUAGCGUGAAGGAUGACUGCCCUAUGGGUUGUAAACUUCUUUUGUCAAGGGACAAAAUCAGGCUCGAGAGCCUGACCGAGUGUACUUUAAGAAAAAGCAUCGGCUAACUCCGUGCCAGCAGCCGCGGUAAUACGGAGGAUGCGAGCGUUAUCCGGAUUUAUUGGGUUUAAAGGGUGCGUAGGCGGACUGUUAAGUCAGCGGUAAAAGCCCGGGGCUCAACCCCGGCGAGCCGUUGAAACUGGCUGUCUUGAGAUGUCGAGAGGUAUGCGGAAUGCGCAGUGUAGCGGUGAAAUGCUUAGAUAUUGCGCAGAACUCCGAUUGCGAAGGCAGCAUACCGGCGGCGAUCUGACGCUGAGGCACGAAAGCGUGGGUAUCGAACAGGAUUAGAUACCCUAGUAGUC